This 206-nucleotide ribosomal RNA is filed under the name uncultured bacterium. RNAcentral's name for it is "partial 16S ribosomal RNA". It matches the Rfam family "Bacterial small subunit ribosomal RNA", at positions 278 to 493 of the family's 1533-position model. RNAcentral also lists the same sequence under 1 other name. The record is from RNAcentral.
GACGCGUCAACCGGCCUGAGAGGGUGACCGNUCACACUGGGACUGAGACACGGCCCAGACUCUACGGGAGGCAGCAGUGGGGAAUAUUGCACAAUGGGCGNAAGCCUGAUGCAGCAACGCCGNGUGAGGGAUGAGACGCGCCUUCGGGUUGUAAACCUCUUUUAGCAGGGAAGAAGCGAAAGUGACGGUACCUGCAGAAAAAGCUA